RNAcentral lists this ribosomal RNA (447 nucleotides) under uncultured bacterium. RNAcentral's name for it is "bacterial SSU rRNA". It matches the Rfam family "Bacterial small subunit ribosomal RNA", at positions 328 to 792 of the family's 1533-position model. The record is from RNAcentral.
GGUCCAGACUCCUACGGGAGGCAGCAGUGGGGAAUAUUGCACAAUGGGGGAAACCCUGAUGCAGCGACGCCGCGUGAGCGAUGAAGUAUUUCGGUAUGUAAAGCUCUAUCAGCAGGGAAGAAGAUGACGGUACCUGACUAAGAAGCCCCGGCUAACUACGUGCCAGCAGCCGCGGUAAUACGUAGGGGGCAAGCGUUAUCCGGAUUUACUGGGUGUAAAGGGAGCGCAGACGGCAAUGCAAGCCUGGAGUGAAAGGCGGGGGCCCAACCCCCGGACUGCUCUGGGAACUGUAUAGCUAGGGUGCAGGAGAGGCAAGUGGAAUUCCUAGUGUAGCGGUGAAAUGCGUAGAUAUUAGGAGGAACACCAGUGGCGAAGGCGGCUUGCUGGACUGUAACUGACGUUGAGGCUCGAAAGCGUGGGGAGCAAACAGGAUUAGAUACCCGAGUA